This is a long non-coding RNA of Bos taurus (domestic cattle), 1932 nucleotides long. Lineage: Eukaryota; Metazoa; Chordata; Mammalia; Artiodactyla; Bovidae. The record is from Ensembl.
GUGUGCACAGCUUUUUGGUUUUAGGGUAGAAGGCCACAGGCCACAGAGGGAGGGCCCUUUGUGUGACUGGCUGUGGUGUAGUUUGGGUCUCUUUUGCCUUGACCUUUACACUAACCUAGCUCGAGGUCUGCAGCUGUGGAUCACAGACACCAUUGGGGGAAAAUGACGAUUCCAUGGGCACCACGACUCUCCUAUUGUAGCAGCUUCAAUAGGGGAGCCCCUGUCCCCACCCCACCUCCUGGAUCUAUCAGACUGAGUGGGGGCUGUGAGCAGAGGUAAGACACUGUCACCACCCUGACUGUGUCUGGACUGAGAUGACUGUUUCUUCUUAGUAGGAAAUUAAUCCUGCAGUAGACCCCUAGGUGGCUACGCGCGUGCGCACACACACAGAACCCUAGGUGGAAGGGAGAAUUUACCUCCAGAAGCUGAGCUGUUGAUCGGGCACACACAAAAAAAGUACCAAAAUCCCCAGCCAUUUUCUAAGUCGAGAACUUCCCAGGCAUCUGGAUUCCAGGCAAACUCACAGGAAAUACAGCAUCCUGUCCACGGCCCCGUCUGGCCUCCUCCCUAUGCACUCAGGCUCCCCAGGGAGGUGCCUCCACCACUCUUGCUGCCACGGCUCACACCAACUUAAGAAAAAGGGUUUCCUCCACAGUCCCUGCUUCCUCAUAAACCAGGGUUUUGUUAUGUUACUACUGAUUGGGAGAUUUUUGUAGAAACUAAUGCCUGUGGCUGGUGAUUUUUAUUUUGGCCAGUCAAAAAUUAUUGUUAUUUCACGAACAUUUUGCGAGUUAUUACAUUCAAUUGUUGCUUUUGAACUGUGGUGGUGGAGAAGACUCUUGAGAGUCCCCUGGACUGCAAGGAGAUCAGUCCUGAAUAUUCAUUGGAAGGACUGAUGCUGAAGCUCCAAUAUUUUGGCCACCUGAUGCAAAGAGCUGACUCAUUGGAAAAGACCCUGAUGCUGGGAAAGAUUGAAAGCAAGAGGAAGGGGACGACAGAGAAUGAGAUGGUUGGAUGGCAUCACCGACUCGAUGGACAUGCGUUUGGGUAGACUCCAACAGUUGGUGAUGGACAGGGAGGCCUGGCGUGCUGCUGUUCAUGGGGUCGCAAAGAGUCAGACACGACUGAGCGACUGAACUGAACCGACUGAACUAAACAUUCAGUUGUUACACCCGACACAUCUAUAAAGUCUUCUCCAGCACUGGGAGUUUCAUCCUCACUUUCCGUAUCAAAUCAGUCACUAAGGCUUUCUGUCUUCUUAUUGAUCUAAUAUUCACACUGUCUGAAUCAGAACUAUAUUCUGAAGAACUCUCAUCUUCUGAGACACUAAGGCCUAUAUGUCGCUCAAUCAGAGAAAGUAUCUGCUUAAAAUUCACUGAAAAAUUCUUCACUCACAAUCUCACAACGUGUCACUUUUGAAAAUUCUAAGGUAACAGACUUGUAUUUAAAAUAUACAUGAGGCUGGAACAAAAACCUAAUGGUGCGAGGUGUGAAUGAUAAUGACAAUCCUAAGUUGUAGAGUGAACCCUUGGUCAAGUGUACGCUCUAACGACUUCACACGGUGAUGUUAACUGCAUUGCUCUCUAGAAGCAUAUUAAUAUGUCUCUGGUCAACAGUGUGCUGGCACCUCUGCGUGGGUAUGGUGAAGGGGUCCCCCCACAGUGGCUGAUGAAGGAGGCUGGUGGGGACGAUGGAAGCAAGGGCACUGAGAGCCCAGCCCCUCCCGUCCUUGGGAGCUACAGUCAAAUGCCCCCUCUGAAUGUCACCCUCCACCACAUGUCCCACUGGCUGUGCAACAAACUGCCCCAGAGAGGCAUCGCAUGACCACUACCUAAUACUUCAUGCCUGGCCUCUUUUUUUGGCCUUUAUAUUAUUUUGGGGGAAAAAAAAAAGGUUUUAAACUCGACUUUCUUGGGUUUUGAGAGAGGCAUU